RNAcentral lists this ribosomal RNA (406 nucleotides) under uncultured bacterium. RNAcentral's name for it is "partial 16S ribosomal RNA". It matches the Rfam family "Bacterial small subunit ribosomal RNA", at positions 30 to 526 of the family's 1533-position model. The record is from RNAcentral.
AUUGAACGCUGGCGGCAGGCCUAACACAUGCAAGUCGAGCGAGAGGCGGACGGGUGAGUAAUGUCUGGGAAACUGCCUGAUGGAGGGGGAUAACUACGGGAAACGGUAGAUAAUACAGCAUACCAUCAGAAGUGCCCAGAUGGGAUUAGCUAGUAGGUGGGGUAACGGCUCACCUAGGCGACGAUCCCUAGCUGGUCUGAGAGGAUGACCAGCCCCACUGGACCUGAGACACGGUCCAGACUCCUCCGGGAGGCACCAGUGGGGAAUAUUGCACAAUGGGCGCAAGCCUGCUGCAGCCCUGCCGCGUGUGUGAAGAAGGCCUUCGGGUUGUAAAGCCCUUUCAGCGGGGAGGCGUUACCCGCAGAAGAAGCACCGGCUAACUCCGUGCCAGCAGCCGCGGUAAUUC